Molecule: ribosomal RNA, 434 nt
Filed under: uncultured bacterium
Lineage: Bacteria
Description: bacterial SSU rRNA
Rfam family: Bacterial small subunit ribosomal RNA
Source: RNAcentral
UGAGGAAUAUUGGUCAAUGGGCGGGAGCCUGAACCAGCCAAGCCGCGUGAGGGAAGAAGGCCCUAUGGGUCGUAAACCUCUUUUGUCAGGGAACAAAAGCGAGUAUGUAUACUAGUCUGAGUGUACCUGAAGAAAAAGCAUCGGUUAACUCCGUGCCAGCAGCCGCGGUAAUACGGAGGAUGCGAGCGUUAUCCGGAUUUAUUGGGUUUAAAGGGUGCGUAGGCGGCGAUGCAAGUCAGCGGUAAAAGCCCGGGGCUCAACCCCGGCGAGCCGUUGAAACUGCAGUGCUAGAGAAGGCGAGAGGUACGCGGAAUGCGCAGUGUAGCGGUGAAAUGCUUAGAUAUUGCGCAGAACUCCGAUUGCGAAGGCAGCGUACUGGCGCCUGACUGACGCUGAGGCACGAAAGCGUGGGGAUCGAACAGGAUUAGAUACCC